AGGGCACUUGAAGGGUACGAAGAAACACUGACGAAGUCGCCUAACGAUCCUACCGCUCUUGAGGGUGCAGCAGUAUCGUUGGUUGAACUAGGUGAAUAUCAGAAGGCCUCAGAUCUACUUGAGAAGCUAGUUAAGGUAAUCCCCGACAAAGCAGAAGCAUACCGCUUGUUAGGUGAAGUAAAGUUUGAGCUCAAGGAUUAUGAUGGGAGUUCUUCAUCAUACAGGAACUCUCUAUCUUCAUCUGACAGCAUUGAUUUUGACGUUCUCCGUGGGCUGACAAAUUCAUUAGUUGCUGCUAAGAAGCCCGAUCAGGCAGUCGAAGUAAUUCUAUCUUGCCGUCGCAAGUUGAGUGAAAAGCGUCAAACCAGGCAACCUGAUUUGGAGGCUGCAAAUGAGAAUGGUGCUCAGGAGUCUCGAGAUAUUGAUCCUAUCCAAGUUGACCUGCUUCUCGGAAAGGCCUAUUCUGAUUGGGGCCAUAUCAGUGAUGCUGUUACUGUUUAUGAUAACUUAAUCGCUGAACAUCCUGAAGACUUCCGUGGUUAUUUGGCGAAGGGAGCUAUACUGAAGCAAAAUGGUAAGGCAGGUGAUGCAGAAAGAAUGUUUAUUCAGGCCAAAUUCUUCGCCCCAGAGGCAGCAAAGGCACUUGUUGAUAUUUAUGCACAGAGAUAG
RNAcentral lists this ribosomal RNA (669 nucleotides) under Triticum aestivum (bread wheat). RNAcentral describes it as "partial small subunit ribosomal RNA". Lineage: Eukaryota; Viridiplantae; Streptophyta; Magnoliopsida; Poales; Poaceae. The record is from RNAcentral.